GAGGAGGGGGUCGCGGCUGAUUAGCUAGUUGGCGGGGUAACGGCCCACCAAGGCGAAGAUCGGUAUCCGGCCUGAGAGGGCGCACGGACACACUGGAACUGGAACACGGUCCAGACUCCUACGGGAGGCAGCAGUGGGGAAUUUUGCGCAAUGGGGGAAACCCUGACGCAGCAACGCCGCGUGGAGGAUGAAGUCCCUUGGGACGUAAACUCCUUUCGACCGGGACGAUAAUGACGGUACCGGUGGAAGAAGCCCCGGCUAACUACGUGCCAGCAGCCGCGGUAAGACGUAGGGGGCCAGCGUUGCUCGGAAUUACUGGGUGUAAAGGGUUCGUAGGCGGUGUGGCAAGUCGGGAGUGAAAUCUCUGGGCUCAACCCAGAGUCUGCUUCCGAAACUGCUGUGCUUGAGUGUGGGAGAGGCGCGUGGAAUUGCAGGUGUAGCGGUGAAAUGCGUAGAUAUCUGCAGGAACACCCGUGGCGAAAGCGGCGCGCUGGACCACUACUGACGCUGAGGAACGAAAGCUAGGGGAGCAAACAGGAUUAGAUACCCUGGUAGUCCUAGCCCUAAACGAUCAGGACUUGGGGUGCCACCCGUUCGGGUGUCGUCCCGGAGCUAACGCGUUAAGUCCUGCACCUGGGGAGUACGGUCGCAAGACUGAAACUCAAAGGAAUUGACGGGGGCCCGCACAAGCGGUGGAGCAUGUGGUUCAAUUCGACGCAACGCGAAGAACCUUACCUGGGCUCGAAAUGCAGGAGACCGGGGUAGAAAUAUCCUUUUUUCGCAAGAGACUGCUGUAUAGGUGCUGCAUGGCUGUCGUCAGCUCGUGUCGUGAGAUGUUGGGUUAAGUCCCGCAACGAGCGCAACCCUUACCCCCAGUUGCCAUCAUUCAGUUGGGCACUCUGGUGGAACCGCC
Molecule: ribosomal RNA, 913 nt
Filed under: uncultured Acidobacteriota bacterium
Lineage: Bacteria; Pseudomonadati; Acidobacteriota
Description: bacterial SSU rRNA
Rfam family: Bacterial small subunit ribosomal RNA
Source: RNAcentral